GAUGAACGCUGGCGGCGUGCCUAAUACAUGCAAGUCGAGCGAACGGACGAGAAGCUUGCUUCUCUGAUGUUAGCGGCGGACGGGUGAGUAACACGUGGAUAACCUACCUAUAAGACUGGGAUAACUUCGGGAAACCGGAGCUAAUACCGGAUAAUAUUUUGAACCGCAUGGUUCAAAAGUGAAAGACGGUCUUGCUGUCACUUAUAGAUGGAUCCGCGCUGCAUUAGCUAGUUGGUAAGGUAACGGCUUACAAAGGCAACGAUGCAUAGCCGACCUGAGAGGGUGAUCGGACACACAGAAACUGAGAACAGGUCCCAGCUCACCGGGGGGGGAGGAGGAGGGAAUUUCCGGCACUGGGCGAAACCUGGAAGGGGACAACCCGGGUGAGGGUAGAAGGUCUUCGGAGCGAAAAAUCCUUUUUUUAGGGAAAAAAAAAUGUUUAAUUAACGGUGAAAAUUUGGAAGGGAACUAAGAAACAAGCAACGGCCAACUGCCU
This 496-nucleotide ribosomal RNA is filed under the name uncultured bacterium. RNAcentral's name for it is "partial 16S ribosomal RNA". It matches the Rfam family "Bacterial small subunit ribosomal RNA", at positions 28 to 506 of the family's 1533-position model. The record is from RNAcentral.